ACUUAGUGGCGGACGGGUGAGUAACGCGUGGGUAACCUGCCCUGUACAGGGGGACAACAGCUGGAAACGGCUGCUAAUACCGCAUAAGCCCUUAGCACUGCAUGGUGCAUAGGGAAAAGGAGUAAUCCGGUACAGGAUGGACCCGCGUCUGAUUAGCCAGUUGGCAGGGUAACGGCCUACCAAAGCGACGAUCAGUAGCCGAUCUGAGAGGAUGUACGGCCACAUUGGGACUGAGACACGGCCCAGACUCCUACGGGAGGCAGCAGUGGGGAAUAUUGCACAAUGGAGGAAACUCUGAUGCAGCGACGCCGCGUGAGUGAAGAAGUAUUUCGGUAUGUAAAGCUCUAUCAGCAGGGAAGAAAAUGACGGUACCUGACUAAGAAGCACCGGCUAAAUACGUGCCAGCAGCCGCGGUAAUACGUAUGGUGCAAGCGUUAUCCGGAUUUACUGGGUGUAAAGGGAGCGUAGGUGGCAAGGCAAGCCAGAAGUGAAAACCCGGGGCUCAACCGCGGGAUUGCUUUUGGAACUGUCAUGCUAG
RNAcentral lists this ribosomal RNA (538 nucleotides) under uncultured Lachnospiraceae bacterium. Its description in RNAcentral is "bacterial SSU rRNA". It matches the Rfam family "Bacterial small subunit ribosomal RNA", at positions 90 to 644 of the family's 1533-position model. Lineage: Bacteria; Bacillati; Bacillota; Clostridia; Lachnospirales; Lachnospiraceae. The record is from RNAcentral.